Long non-coding RNA from Culex pipiens pallens (northern house mosquito), 1345 nucleotides. RefSeq lists it as uncharacterized. NCBI's taxonomy places the organism in Eukaryota, Metazoa, Arthropoda, Insecta, Diptera, Culicidae. The record is from RefSeq and is a predicted model, not a curated record. The transcript has 3 exons.
CGCACGGGCGAGUUAUAGCCGGUUAUAAGACCAAAAGUGGUUAUAACUCUUAAAACCGGCUAUAACUCUGGUUUUGCCCAUACAACGAGCUGUCAAAUUAAAACCGGUUUUAAGAGUUAUAACCAAGUUAAAACUGCUCGAAAAGGGAACUCGACUACUUGAAAACUCAUAGUAGCCUUUGGAAACAUUUGAAAACGUCCAACAUUGACAGGAACAAAACAACGUUUUUUCUCUGUUUCUUUGCUGAAAUACACCAGCUUAUCGGCGCGUCCCAGUUCCAGAGCAAGUUCCACAGUGGAUAGUGCACCGUGGCAAGGAACUAUCGAAAGAACUUGAUUUUGCCCUGGAAUUCAUCGCCAUUGCCCCCGGAUCCAGUGCCGCUUAAUGCCCAAAAACCUGAAUGGACAUACACACACAUGGACGUGUGCAAGAUGUGUUCCAGUAGAAAUCCGAUUUCGCACUUCGCUCGGUGCAUGUUGUAGAACUGAACUGGUUUUCCAAAGUCUUGCGGGAAGGUGGCCUAGAUCUCGGAACACUUGCCAAACCCCGGAUUCACAAGCACUACGGAUCGGCCUUACCGUUUAAAUCCAUCGGAUGCAGAUCGGUCACCAGCGCGGUCCAAUGAUCCGAGGAUUUGGCGCGUCCUGGCGGGAACGACAGGCUCACGUGCUUUAACGGGGCAUGCUACGGACUCAAUGCUCUGCUGCUGUUGCUGGUGACUCGCGCUGUUGCUGCUGUUCCACGGCGAAUAGAGGCUGACGCAGACUACGCUCCUGGCCGAUUCUCGCGAUCAAGUGUGCUGCUUUUGGUCGGACUCUCGGGCCACCUGACACAAACUCUGCCUGUGUGCAGAACUCCUACGCUGGUGGUACUUCGCUGGGACACGUGGCACUCAAGCUUGGUACUUCCAGACGCCGGUGAGGUCCACUAGCUAGGAGAUUUUAUGCGUCUCCUACAAACAACACCUGCCGAUCACUGUCGGAGUGCUCGCCAGCGAUGCUGGUUGGAAACGGUGGGGUCCAAUGGCUCACGUGGUCCAGUUGCAGGUCACGUGUCGCGAGUCGAUCGCUGGAUGGGUUGGAUGCUGACGAACGUCGAUGGUGUUCCAGUGGCUCAAGAUCGAAAACAAAGAAUUCUACGGACGAUACCACGUGACCGUGGGGACGGCUUAGCGGAGCAGCGAGGCAGGUUUCUCGUCGACGUUCGCGUCCUAUGGCUUGGAGAGGAUGGUGGGGCGUCCUUGUCUUCCGCUAGCCAAAGUGGCGGCCAGCUUUUAUUUGAUUUGUUCAGUACGUUCCAGUUUCGUUGAAGUUCUUUUAAAAUUCUAUAAUAAAAGAUAAUGCUU